UUGUGCUGGGGGCGGAGCUGACUGGACCCUGGAAGAGCUGGUCCAAUCAACUCAGUCACAUUUUUAUCCUACCAGACAUGGAAGUAGACAUGUAUUACUUUUGUAAAAAAUUGAAAGGGAAAUAUUAACACGUUCAGUUAGUGGGUUGAAACAGAAAAAACACACACAAUUGUUCAAAUAAUACUGAAUAAAAUAAAGUAGUUUUAAGUUAUUGACCGUAUUAUUAUACUGUUGCACAUUAAUCUAUGGGUUUGUUUAUCAGUAUAGAUCUAUAACCUGAUUGGUAAGAAGUUUCAUCUAGCCUAUAUGGUACGCCAUUUUUCCCUUAGCUCCAACACUUAAAGCACAGGGGUUCACUUCACGCUGCGUCUUUACGCCUUAUCCAGCUGGUGAUAUUUUCCCUCUUUUCAGCUCCAUGCACUUCUAGCCUGUUAGUUUUUAACCAUUACCAUCACCUUUUACAGCGACAGGGUUCUCAUCUCAGUCUCUGUGCUGACCAGACAAAUCUCCUCUAUUGCUCUCCUCAGUGUGCUCUGGUGCGUAAUUACGCAAGCCGAAGGCUGAGUUUGAAGUUGUUCUCUGAGUGCGUUUUGUUUGUGGUCGGAGCGGACGGGAUGAUUACUUUCUGCUUCGCUUUUAGCCCACUAAUAGCCGUAAAGGCGGAGCCUCUCCUGAGUAGUCCUAACCAUGAUCCCUAAAUUCUUGGAACUCUGAGGAUACAGACAUCAUUCCUGAUAGUCCCUCCAGAACACGCCAGAGGUUGGAAGCGGAAGCUAAGCAUGUAAGAGUUUUUAUAAUAUUUACAUGGUUUGAAGACCUUGUUGAGCUCAUGAACUUAUGUUUUUUUGUUAGCCCCUUAAUUUUUUUAUUUUACUAUAAUAAAGUGCACACUUAAAGUAUAUGAGCUAUUAAAAGCAAUUGAAUUUGUUUGUUUUUCACAAAGUAUAAAUUAAUAUAUCCUCUCUAAUUCUCAUGACCAUGUCACUGUCUGGAGGGAGUUUCUCUCUCUUCCGCUCUUUUGGUGCAGCAUAGAAUAGAAAAUCCCUUUAUUGUCCCACAAUAGGAAAUGACAAGUUGCGACAUAUUCCUAAUGUGUUGAAUUCUUUUGUGUUGUGUUUCAAGUUGGUGGAAUCAGUUCUUACCAAAAAAACAGGUGGGGAACGUAUAAUAAAUGAAUACAGCCGAACCAAGUCCUUGACGGAUGAAACCAGACGGAAAAUGGUUAACAUGCUGGCAGCUGACAUGACUGAAAAGAAUGGUACAUCCCCACCCAGGCAGGUGAAAGAAAUGUACGCCAGAGGAAUAGUGUCCUUAUUCCCCUACCUCAGUGACCCAUUCUCUAAGAAUGGCUAUGAGCACUAUUAUGACGGGCAGAGUGUAACUGUGUACUUGGCCUGGAGGAUUAAAACUAUUCAGAGAGGCACUGCUAAAGAUAGGCGUUCCUCGUUUGGAGGUAACGGAAAACUAUUGUAAAAUCUCAUAAAAUUAGUGAAUACUGUUUUGAAAGGUCUUGAUGUAUAAAUGUUAAUUUUUUUCUAGUUAGGUUAAGCAUCUUGUAUUCCAAUGUGAAAGAGUUGUGAAAAAAAAUUCUAUACUUUGCAAGUAAUUCCUGGCCUCCAAAUUUCCUUUAAGCCUUUUGUACUUUUUUGCAGUAUGGUUGUGGAAUGGGUCUUGCAUUGUAUUCAUUAUGUUCUUUAAAAAUCUUAAAUUUGGCUUGUUGAAACCUGCAGAGAUCCUGGAAACGAUACUGGUUACUGUAUUUGUUGCACACAAUGCUUCUCAGUAAAAUAAUAUUUACUUUCUUUAAGUCUAACUACACCCUUCAAUUCCUCUAACUUUGUCAACAGGCUGGCAUGGCAAGUUCUGGUUGAUUCAAAAGACUAGACAUGCAUUUUGAACCAUUAUCAAUGUAUGAAAUCAUGUGAAUAAUCAUAAAUUGUGAAUUUAGCUUCUACUUUUGUGUAGAUUACCUCUUUAUGAGUUGCCCAGGUUUUUACAAAUAUUUUUUAUACCUGUAUGUAUAAUAAUGCAUUUCCCAAUGUUAUGUAGAAUCAGCCAAACAAUCCUCUGGUGAAGAUGUGUCUGGAGGAUCAAUUGUCAGAUGAGAGUCCGAGUUUGUUCCAGACACUGCCCUAACUGAAGAUGAGUGCAACGAAGCAAUCUCACUGAUGAAACAUUCAGCAGAUGAAGACACCGUCAAGAAGAAAAUGAAACUGACGUUUGAGUAUCGCCACAACAUUGUCCUUGACCCACAACAGUCAAGCAACAUACUGUCCGAAUUUCCACGUUUUAAAGACGUCAAAGGCUUGGUAAUUAUCUAUCACCCUUUAACUUUUUUUUGCCUGUUAAUUACUUGAAAUUGUCACCCAACAUUACCCCCAUCCCAGGUUGAACAGGAUUUCAUUCUGAUGUUUGGAGAGGGUACCUCAAGCAAGCUUCUGGAGAGGUGGCCGGUCAAGUUUAAGAAAAAAAUAAUCCAACAGUGCAGAAAGCUCCCAUCUACAAGUGAGCAUGAAGAACUCUUGUUGGCAGCUGAUCCACCUGAGAAUGGCACCGAAGUUCUUGAUUGUUUCUUGUCCUUCUUCUGCUCUCAUAUACUUGAGAUAUUUCAUUGUAAUUAUUUUAAUAUUCUCUAAAUAUUUACAUAACAGCAUAAUUAAAGCUGGAUCUGUAAUAAAUGUAGGAGGAAAUAUUAAACAAAACUUCAAAAGUACUGAAGUGUUAAUCCUAUGGUAUUAGUUGUAUAGCUUCUUGUGAGGAUAUAAAAAAACAUAAAUUAAUAUAUUUUCUGUAUUUUUAGAAAUGCUACUGCCAGUGCAGAGCUAACAUUGUCUGUUGUGGGUCAAGGACAAUGUUGUGGCGAUACUCAAACGUCAGUUUCAUUUUCUUCUUGACGGUGUCUUCAACUGGGUUUCAACCAUCUGCUCCUGUUUCUAAAGACCUGUCUCAUAGAAUGUUCCUUUGCGGCAUAUUUGGCUUACAAUUUCUGCACUUCUGAGGUGUGAGAAGUGAACUAAUGUCCUGCAUUUUUUGGGACACCCCACUUGAAUUAGAGCGGUCAAAAUGUGUAAGCCAUGUCCUAGAAGGAGUAAAUUAGGUUCCCACAAGGUUUAAUCAGUGUUCCACAGUCCUCUAAUUUUGAAAAAGCGCACAAAAUGUCUGAAUCAUGUUAACAUUUGAAUUUCCCUUUGUAAACAAAAUUCAGUAGCUCUGCACUGAAUUUCAGUCUGCAUAACUGCAUACUGUCAGACCGUGCAGACUGGAAGAUCUAUUGGUCCCUUGUGGUGAAGAGAGCACUUCCUGGUUGCGAUACGACGUCAUCACGUCUACCCCAAGCCCGGCGAAAAACAGCACCAGCGCUGAUAAACGACGCAAAAAAUAGAUAUUGAAUUUAUUUAUUUUUUAUUUACUUGUUAUUGGAGGAGGAGAGUUGGUUUAGACGGCUUCGGCGGCAGUAAAGCCGGCGACGAAUUUUUCUCAGGCUGGAGGAGCGCAGUGGAGAGGUAACAUUUACCUGCUAUUAUUUUCACCCACAGGGGCCUGCUA
Molecule: long non-coding RNA, 3546 nt
Organism: Fundulus heteroclitus (mummichog)
Lineage: Eukaryota; Metazoa; Chordata; Actinopteri; Cyprinodontiformes; Fundulidae
Exons: 3
Source: RefSeq, a predicted model, not a curated record